ACAUCAAGUCUGCUGUUAAAGGCUGGAGCUUAACUCCGGUAGAGCAGUGGAAACUGGUGUGCUAGAGGGCGACAGGGGUAGAGGGAAUUCCCAGUGUAGCGGUGAAAUGCGUAGAGAUUGGGAAGAACACCGGUGGCGAAAGCGCUCUACUGGGUCGCACCUGACCCUCAGGGACGAAAGCUAAGGUAGCGAAAGGGAUUAGAUACCCCUGUAGUCUUAGCCGUAAACGAUGGAUACUAGGCGUGGCUUGUAUCGACCCAAGCCGUGCCGAAGCUAACGCGUUAAGUAUCCCGCCUGGGGAGUACGCACGCAAGUGUGAAACUCAAAGGAAUUGACGGGGGCCCGCACAAGCGGUGGAGGAUGUGGUUUAAUUCGAUGCAACGCGAAGAACCUUGCCAGGGCUUGACAUCCCGCGAAUCUCGGUGAAAGCCGAGAGUGCCUUCGGGAGCGCGGAGACAGGUGGUGCAUGGCUGUCGUCAGCUCGUGUCGUGAGAUGUUGGGUUAAGUCCCGCAACGAGCGCAACCCUCGUCCUUAGUUGCCAGCCUUAAGUGGGGCACUCUAGGGAGACUGCCGGUGACAAACCGGAGGAAGGUGAGGAUGACGUCAAGUCAGCAUGCCCCUUAUGCUCUGGGCGACACACGUCCUACAAUGGUCGGGACAAAGGGGAGCGAGCUCGCGAGAGUCAGCGAAUCCCAGCAAACUCGGCCUCAGUUCAGAUGGCAGGCUGCAACUCGC
This 736-nucleotide ribosomal RNA is filed under the name uncultured cyanobacterium. RNAcentral describes it as "bacterial SSU rRNA". It matches the Rfam family "Bacterial small subunit ribosomal RNA", at positions 580 to 1315 of the family's 1533-position model. The record is from RNAcentral. Lineage: Bacteria; Bacillati; Cyanobacteriota.